RNAcentral lists this ribosomal RNA (292 nucleotides) under uncultured Bacteroidota bacterium. Its description in RNAcentral is "uncultured Bacteroidetes bacterium partial 16S ribosomal RNA". The record is from RNAcentral. Lineage: Bacteria; Pseudomonadati; Bacteroidota.
GGACUACCCGGGUUUCUAAUCCUGUUUGAUCCCCACGCUUUCGUGCCUCAGCGUCAAUCGCUGCUUAGCCAGCUGCCUUCGCAAUCGGUGUUCUAUGUCAUAUCUAUGCAUUUCACCGCUACAUGACAUAUUCCGCUGGCCUCAACAGUAUUCAAGACUUAUAGUAUCAAUGGCAGUUUCCAGGUUGAGCCCGGAGAUUUCACCACUGACUUACAAGCCCGCCUACACACCCUUUAAACCCAGUGAAUCCGGAUAACGCUUGCACCCUCCGUAUUACCGCGGCUGCUGGCAC